AUGGGAAAAGAGAAAUCCUGGAAUUGUCAAUCCCGACAGGGAAAAGGGGGAAAAACAGGGAAAAAUCCGGGAAAAACAUGGGAAAAUCCGGGAAAAUGGGGGAAAAACAGGGAAAAAUCCGGGAAAAUGGGGGAAAAUCCGGGAAAAUGGGGGGAAAUCUGGGAAAAAUCUGGGAAAAUGGGGAAAAAACAGGGAAAAAUCCGGGAAAAUGGGGAAAAAUCUGGGAAAAUGGGGGGAAAUCUGGGAAAAAUCUGGGAAAAUGGGGAAAAAACAGGGAAAAAUCCGGGAAAAUGGGGGGAAAAUCUGGGAAAAUGGGGGAAAAACAUGGAAAGAUCUGGAAAAAUGGGGAAAAAACAUGGAAAAAUCCGGGAAAAUGGGGGGAAAAUCCGGGAAAAUGGGGGAAAAACAUGGAAAAAUCUGGGAAAAUGGGGGAAAACCAUGGAAAGAUCUGGAAAAAUGGGGGAAAAACAUGGAAAAAUCCAGAAAAAUGGGGGGAAAAUCCGGGGAAAUGGGGGAAAAAACAUGGAAAAAUCCAGAAAAAUGGGGGGAAAAUCCGGAAAAAUGGGGGGAGACUGGAAAAGAAAAGGGAAAAGAUGGAAAAAAAGUGGAAAGGAUGGAAAAAAUGGGGAAAAUCCCAGGGAAAAGGUGGAAAAAACCAGAGCAAGGGUUUGGAAAAGCAGGAAAAAUCCGUUUAUUCCCUCGGGGGCUGAUUCCAGAGGGGAGGAGAAUUCCAGGGGGGAAUUCCAGGGGCUCAUUCCAGAGGGAAGGAGAAUUCCAGGACGUCCCCGGAGCGCAGCAGAGCCGAGCCCUGGAUCCCCAGCGGGGUCUGCAGAGAAUCCACCUGGGAGAGGGGAAAAAGGGGGAAAAGUCAGGGAAAAAUCCGGGAAAAAAUCGGGAAAAGUCGGGGAAAAAUCCGGGGAAAAAUUGGGAAAAAUCGGGGAAAAAUCCGGGAAAAAAAUAAGGAAAAGUCAGGGAAAAAUUUGGGAAAAAAGGGGAAAAGUUGGGAAAAAAUUCGUGAAAAAAAGGGGGAAAAGCCAGAGAAAAGGGGGAGAAAAAAUGGGGAAAAAAGCCAAGAAAAAUGGGGGGAAAAGCCAAAAGAAAUGGGAAAAAAAGCCAUAA
RNAcentral lists this long non-coding RNA (1119 nucleotides) under Cyanistes caeruleus (blue tit). Its description in RNAcentral is "lncRNA (ENSCCEG00000003125.1)". The record is from RNAcentral. Lineage: Eukaryota; Metazoa; Chordata; Aves; Passeriformes; Paridae.